AUGGAUGAAAAACUCUAUGCAGAUUAUUCAAAUGCUACAACAAACACAAUUUGGAUUGGAUAUCUCAUUCUGGAAUGUUUUCUGCUUCUGUGGCCCUACGUUUCGUUCUGUCAAAACUUUUCUGAAGCUAUGGAAAUUUGCGAAGAUCGUACUGAUGUGCUUCACUACAAACAGACCGAAUUAGUUCUGUUACAAGGGAAGUUAACAAAAAAUACGUUUACUGCCUACGGACUACUGGAGCUAAACUGGACUUUAAUAUACAUAAUGGUUGCAUCAAUUUCUACGCAUCUUGUUUAUUUAAUACAGUUUAAACAGAUGAUAAACUAAAACCAUUUUUGGUUGUGUAUAUUUUGCUUUUCUUCUAGUUCUUUUUGUUUUCACUGUGUAGAUUGGUAGGUUUAACGUCUAACACAAAGAACAAGAUCCCAACCUUGCCAGCAUGAUAAUUCGUUAAUUAAUUAAUAAUUAAACACAACCAAAUUUCUUAAACUGGAAUACUUAU
Long non-coding RNA from Zophobas morio, 502 nucleotides. RefSeq lists it as uncharacterized. The record is from RefSeq and is a predicted model, not a curated record. Lineage: Eukaryota; Metazoa; Arthropoda; Insecta; Coleoptera; Tenebrionidae. The transcript is spliced from 4 exons.